This 230-nucleotide long non-coding RNA is filed under the name Paramuricea clavata. The record is from RNAcentral. Lineage: Eukaryota; Metazoa; Cnidaria; Anthozoa; Malacalcyonacea; Plexauridae.
GGGGCUUCGGUGGCCAAGUGGUUAGCGCACUUGCCUUUCACCUCUGAGGCUGCAGGUUCGAAUCUCACUAAGUACCUUCUCAGUGCGACUCGAACCUAGUCCUCAUGUGAAAAGAGUAAAAAGUCAACGCUCUGCCGAAAGCCGUGGGUUUUCCCCGGGUACUCCGGUUUCCUCCCACAGGGAAAGUUGACAGGGUGGGUUAGGUAAAAAAAGGGCCCACAGUAAUUGGC